RNAcentral lists this transfer RNA (90 nucleotides) under Shewanella saliphila. RNAcentral's name for it is "tRNA-OTHER". It matches the Rfam family "tRNA". From Rfam's summary of the family: Transfer RNA (tRNA) molecules are approximately 80 nucleotides in length. Their secondary structure includes four short double-helical elements and three loops (D, anti-codon, and T loops). Lineage: Bacteria; Pseudomonadati; Pseudomonadota; Gammaproteobacteria; Alteromonadales; Shewanellaceae. The record is from RNAcentral.
CGCGGGAUGGAGCAGUUGGUAGCUUAUCGGGCUCAGCUUUUCAUAAACAAGAGUCGAAGGUCGUAGGUUCAAGUCCUGCUCCCGCAACCA